UCCAUUUUUGUCCCUACAUUCAAACUGCUCUAUUACUGUAGAUACAUGUUAGAACACUUUCACUCUCUCAUUCACAUCUGCAAAGAAAAAGAAUUUUAAUGAAAAUUUGAAAACAAUUAAAAUACCAUUCUAUUAUUUUAUUUUAUUUUUGAUAAAUCAUUUUCCCUUAUAAUAAAGGAUAUUGUUACCACCGUGUCGAUAACUCCACCGUCAAUUAGCUGUUGGAUACAAAAUGAUGAGAUCAGUAAAGAGGCUCCCGCAGGGCAGACGACAUUUCUCAUGGCAUUCUGUCAUAUGUGUCGCUGCCUCGAAACUAGGAAUCUGGCAUCGUCGUCUUCCCAAAGUAUUACAAAGAUACAUUGGAGACCUUGGAGCUCAAUGCAUGACAUGGAUUUUCAGUAAGUGCAGUUCAUCGUGGAAUCUAGCAACAAAGGAAUUCUUUAUCAUGUGCGGUGAAAGCUGGCUGGAUUAGGUGAUUUUGAUGGCGGUGAAAGCUGAGGCGAGAAACUUUUGAUAGACAUCAGCCACUCUUAAGUGUAUUCUUGUUAAUGAGGGGAUUAAAGUUUCUUUCUUUAAUUCUUUUUUAAUUCAAAAGUGUAGGGUUUUCUCUCUCUAGAUUAUUUUUUACUUUGAGCCAAUCAAUUCCUAAAUUGUUAGUGUUAUCAUGAUAAAGUUGAGUUUGGAGUAUCAA
Molecule: long non-coding RNA, 691 nt
Organism: Ricinus communis (castor bean)
Lineage: Eukaryota; Viridiplantae; Streptophyta; Magnoliopsida; Malpighiales; Euphorbiaceae
Exons: 2
Source: RefSeq, a predicted model, not a curated record